UGUCAGGCUCGGCAGGGACACG
RNAcentral lists this microRNA (22 nucleotides) under Oryctolagus cuniculus (rabbit). RNAcentral's name for it is "ocu-miR-12090-5p". Lineage: Eukaryota; Metazoa; Chordata; Mammalia; Lagomorpha; Leporidae. The record is from miRBase by way of RNAcentral.